CCUACGGGAGGCAGCAGUGGGGAAUCUUGCGCAAUGGGCGAAAGCCUGACGCAGCAACGCCGCGUGCGGGAAGAAGGCUUUCGGGCUGUAAACCGCUUUCAGCAGGAACGAAAAUGACGGUACCUGCAGAAGAAGGAGCGGCCAACUAUGUGCCAGCAGCCGCGGUGAUACAUAGGCUUCAAGCGUUGUCCGGAUUUAUUGGGCGUAAAGAGUUCGUAGGCGGUCGAGUAAGUCGGGUGUGAAAAUUCUGGGCUCAACCCAGAGACGCCACCCGAUACUGCUUAACUUGAGUUCGAUAGGGGAGUGGGGAAUUCCUAGUGUAGCGGUGAAAUGCGCAGAUAUUAGGAGGAACACCGGUGGCGAAGGCGCCACUCUGGAUCGAUACUGACGCUGAGGAACGAAAGCAUGGGUAGCAAACAGGAUUAGAUACCCUGGUAGUCCAUGCCGUAAACGGUGGGCACUAGGUGUGGGAUUCUAUUAACGAAUUCCGCGCCGUCGCUAACGCAUUAAGUGCCCCGCCUGGGGAGUACGGUCGCAAGACUAAAACUCAAAAUGAAAUUGACGG
Molecule: ribosomal RNA, 565 nt
Filed under: uncultured bacterium
Lineage: Bacteria
Description: bacterial SSU rRNA
Rfam family: Bacterial small subunit ribosomal RNA
Source: RNAcentral